AUGGAGCCGACCUUGAAAUACCACCCUUUAAUGUUUGAUGUUCUAACGUUGACCCGUAAUCCGGGUUGCGGACAGUGUCUGGUGGGUAGUUUGACUGGGGCGGUCUCCUCCUAAAGAGUAACGGAGGAGCACGAAGGUUGGCUAAUCCUGGUCGGACAUCAGGAGGUUAGUGCAAUGGCAUAAGCCAGCUUGACUGCGAGCGUGACGGCGCGAGCAGGUGCGAAAGCAGGUCAUAGUGAUCCGGUGGUUCUGAAUGGAAGGGCCAUCGCUCAACGGAUAAAAGGUACUCCGGGGAUAACAGGCUGAUACCGCCCAAGAGUUCAUAUCGACGGCGGUGUUUGGCACCUCGAUGUCGGCUCAUCACAUCCUGGGGCUGAAGUAGGUCCCAAGGGUAUGGCUGUUCGCCAUUUAAAGUGGUACGCGAGCUGGGUUUAGAACGUCGUGAGACA
Molecule: ribosomal RNA, 449 nt
Filed under: Escherichia coli
Lineage: Bacteria; Pseudomonadati; Pseudomonadota; Gammaproteobacteria; Enterobacterales; Enterobacteriaceae
Description: partial 23S ribosomal RNA
Rfam family: Bacterial large subunit ribosomal RNA
Source: RNAcentral